Molecule: ribosomal RNA, 497 nt
Filed under: uncultured bacterium
Lineage: Bacteria
Description: partial 16S ribosomal RNA
Rfam family: Bacterial small subunit ribosomal RNA
Source: RNAcentral
GAUGAACGCUGGCGGCGUGCCUAAUACAUGCAAGUCGAGCGAACAGAUGAGGAGCUUGCUCCUCUGACGUUAGCGGCGGACGGGUGAGUAACACGUGGAUAACCUACCUAUAAGACUGGGAUAACUUCGGGAAACCGGAGCUAAUACCGGAUAAUAUAUUGAACCGCAUGGUUCAAUAGUGAAAUACGGUUUUGCUGUCACUUAUAGAUGUAUCCGCGCCGCAUUAGCUAGUUGGUAAGGUAACGGCUUACCAAGGCAACGAUGCGUAGCCGACCUGAGAGGGUGAUCGGCCACACUGGAACUGAGACACGGUCCAGACUCCUACGGGAGGCAGCAGUAGGGAAUCUUCCGCAAUGGGCGAAAGCUUGACGGAGCAACGCCGCGUGAGUGAUGAAGGUCUUCGGAUCGUAAAACUCUGUUAUUAGGGAAGAACAAAUGUGUAAGUAACUAUGCACGUCUUGACGGUACCUAAUCAGAAAGCCACGGCUAACUACGUG